Non-coding RNA from Podarcis lilfordi (Lilford's wall lizard), 835 nucleotides. Lineage: Eukaryota; Metazoa; Chordata; Lepidosauria; Squamata; Lacertidae. The record is from the annotation of a GenBank genome assembly.
GCUCCUUCCUGCUUGCAUUACUGUGCCUGUUGCUGCCCUUCCCUCCAACUGCGUUCCUGCAGGGACUCUUCCCUAGAAUUCAGCCCCUUGGGGCCAUGUGACUUGCAAGAGAAAGGCCAAAUUUGGGAAAAAAGGAAGCUCGGGAGGAUUUUUUCAGCACAGGGUCAUCAACCUCCUUUUUAACCCUGGAUGGUCUGUGGGGAAGCCACUCUGAACAGAAGCUCAACAACUGUAAUUGCGGGGAACCGGGAUGCGGAAUCUGAUUGGGGUAGGGCCCACCAGGAAGGACGGCCCUUUUGGCACACUCUGCGCUUGGGGCGUGAGUGUAUGUUGCAUCCAGCCCACGAGCAAUCUCCAAAGCGAUCUGGAUUGCCCAACUAGUUCAUUCUUCUGAAAGACCUCCUAGUGGAUUUUUUUGUUUCUUGCUUUUCUUCCUUGCUUGUUCAACACUCCAAGUAGCUUCGAGAAACCGGAUGUAACUCGACCCUAGGCAGCGCAUCACAGUUCUCUGCUUUGGAGACAGGCGUCAACAUUCAAAGUCGCUUCCUGAAGACCUGGUCAGUGAGCAUGCAUCCGGAUCUGUUUGCUCAAAGGCUAUUAUGGUAAGGUUAGGCUACAGAGGCGCUUCUAGACGGUAAUGCGCAGGACUAGCUCCAGGUUUCUUUUUUUCGUGGUUUUUGGACAACUGAGUACCACUGGGAUCUUCCUUUGAGGUUAUUUUAAAGCCCUGGUUCCUCCCAACACGCCGCCCAAAUUGACCCUGAUGAACAAAGUAUUGAACUGCUGCUUGAAUGCAAUGCUGCUGACGUCAAUAAAGUUUCCCUUUUAGAACACC